UUGUAAAAAAACUCUCUAAAAAUAUUUGCUGGGUUUCUCCCAAUCUGGGAGCUGGCGUAUCGAUUUGGUGUUUUAUGAAUACUAAGUUGAUUGUUUGGUGAUUUGUGUGUGUGCGAUUGAGAGAUCCGUGAGUUAUUUGAAUCAUGAUGAAGGAGAUCGAGAAACUUAAGAGCACUCCUCAAGCAAAAACGGAAGAGCGGGAGAGGAAGGCACUGAGCUCUACCGAGAGAGGUUGGUACGAGCACUUGCUCGAGAUACACAAGUUCCCCUGUUGGUUCUUGCGCACCUUAUGAUUCUGCUUACGACUACAAUGAAGAGUCUGAAUCAGAUGAUGACAUUGCAGAAUCGGAUCAGUGCACUUCAGAGUCAGAAGCUGAGGAAGAAACCGAUGCAAACAAUAUAAAGAACAACCUUGAUAUUUGAAACUAGCUGCAAGGGUUUUUCCUGGUGGGUAGCCUAUGGUUGGAAAUCAGGGUUUAGUAGGAUCUAUUUAUGUUAUUAGGUUAUAGUGUUAGUAGAAAAAUAGUUCUACGCUUGCUUCUGUUCUCUUCCUUCUACAUUUUUGAGCUCUUUGUUUAAAGGAAGGGGGGCUCAUAGGUAGUGCUUAUGUGUACACACCGCUAUGCAGAAUUGUUUUGUUUCUUCUGUGUUACUGAAACUGAGGAUGACUGUCUCUAUGCAACAUCUUAA
Camelina sativa (false flax) is the source of this 690-nucleotide long non-coding RNA. RefSeq lists it as uncharacterized. The record is from RefSeq and is a predicted model, not a curated record. NCBI's taxonomy places the organism in Eukaryota, Viridiplantae, Streptophyta, Magnoliopsida, Brassicales, Brassicaceae.